UGCUUUUUAAACAGUACAUCAAUGCCACGCACAAGGCAAUUUUUGUUCUUGACCCUCUGGGACAUGAUGAGCUCAAGGACUCUGAAGAGGCAGGACAAAGAUUCAGGGACUACUUCAAGAUGCGCCAUAACAGGUAUGGUAAAGAAGACUGGGUCCAUAUCAAGUGGACAGCCGGGACAAUUGAUCACACAAAGCAGACAGAUGGUGCCAGUUGUGGAGUUUUUGUCAUGAAGAUGGCUGAAGACAUUGUUUCUCAGUUUCCUGAAAUUCCCAGAUCCAUGAUACUGCCAUCAAACAAAGCUGAG
Molecule: long non-coding RNA, 305 nt
Filed under: Astyanax mexicanus (Mexican tetra)
Lineage: Eukaryota; Metazoa; Chordata; Actinopteri; Characiformes; Acestrorhamphidae
Description: lncRNA (ENSAMXG00005010013.1)
Source: RNAcentral